RNAcentral lists this ribosomal RNA (207 nucleotides) under uncultured bacterium. Its description in RNAcentral is "partial 16S ribosomal RNA". It matches the Rfam family "Bacterial small subunit ribosomal RNA", at positions 568 to 774 of the family's 1533-position model. The record is from RNAcentral.
CACGUAGGCGGUUCGUCGCGUCCGGUGUGAAAGUCCAUCGCUUAACGGUGGAUCCGCGCCGGGUACGGGCGGGCUUGAGUGUGGUAGGGGAGACUGGAAUUCCCGGUGUAACGGUGGAAUGUGUAGAUAUCGGGAAGAACACCAAUGGCGAAGGCAGGUCUCUGGGCCGUUACUGACGCUGAGGAGCGAAAGCGUGGGGAGCGAACA